RNAcentral lists this ribosomal RNA (303 nucleotides) under uncultured bacterium. RNAcentral's name for it is "partial 16S ribosomal RNA". It matches the Rfam family "Bacterial small subunit ribosomal RNA", at positions 507 to 808 of the family's 1533-position model. The record is from RNAcentral.
AGCAGUAGCCGCGGGAAUACAGAGGGUGCGAGCGUUAAUCGGAUUUACUGGGCGUAAAGCGUGCGUAGGCGGCUUCUUAAGUCGGAUGUGAAAUCCCUGAGCUUAACUUAGGAAUUGCAUUCGAUACUGGGAAGCUAGAGUAUGGGAGAGGAUGGUAGAAUUCCAGGUGUAGCGGUGAAAUGCGUAGAGAUCUGGAGGAAUACCGAUGGCGAAGGCAGCCAUCUGGCCUAAUACUGACGCUGAGGUACGAAAGCAUGGGGAGCAAACAGGAUUAGAUACCCCCGUAGUCCCUGUCUCUAUACA